Molecule: RNase P RNA, 238 nt
Filed under: Staphylococcus sp.
Lineage: Bacteria; Bacillati; Bacillota; Bacilli; Caryophanales; Staphylococcaceae
Description: partial RNase P RNA component class B
Rfam family: Bacterial RNase P class B
About the family: Ribonuclease P (RNase P) is a ubiquitous endoribonuclease, found in archaea, bacteria and eukarya as well as chloroplasts and mitochondria.
Source: RNAcentral
AAUAGUUUGAAAGUGCCACAGUGACGUAGCUUUUAUAGAAAUAUAAAAGGUGGAACGCGGUAAACCCCUCGAGUGAGCAAUCCAAAUUUGGUAGGAGCACUUGUUUAGCGGAAUUCAACGUAUAAACGAGACAUCUUUACUCGCAUAGUAAAGAUUUGUAGACAGAUGAUUACCACCAAAGUACCAGUACAACUAGUGUACGUUAUGAGUACAAUGGUACAGAACAUGGCUUAUAGAG